CUAAAACCUCAAAAAGUGGUAAAUUACUCAAAUUUUACCCAAAAUUUAUCUAAACCAAUACUAAUGCUCUCUCACACGACAACUAAUUUUCUACUCGAAAAAGGGUAAAAAAUAAAAGAUAAAAAAGAAAAAAAAAGAAAAAAACAUUUUAUUAAUUGCCAAAGUGGGAUAGGAUCAAUGGCCGGCAGUGCCAUCCUUCUUCAUGCCCCAGUCAUGUAAUCUCAGGUGCAACUCAGCAGCAGCAAUCAAGAAAUGGACGGCCUGGACUGGAGUAAAAACAUCGAGAAUCGCCUUUAGCGUUCUCAACCGUAGAUCAUCUGCUCUCAGCAAGAUCUUCUCCAAGCCCUCCUCCUUCAACGCCAGAACCGACUCGACUCGCUCCUUCUCAAUCCCACCACCCCUCCUGCCUUCCCCCUCGCUCCUUAUCAACUCCGUCACCACGUGUGACAACUCAACCAUUGCCGAGUCCGCUACCGUUUCCUGGUGCUUCGCCAUCUUCUCCGUGAUUUCUCUCUCCUCCCUAAUGGUCCUCCUCUGCAACUCGUCGACCUUGCUCAGUUGACUCGGCGAGAGAUCCCCCAAAUCGCCACGACUACUCAUCCCUUGAUCAAAACUGGCUAGUUUCUCCUCGGCUUGCUGUCCGGACUUGGAGUAGAGCAAAUGAAAAGCCAUGCUGGGUCGCCACCCUCCUAUCCACAUGAACGAGUUCUUGAGUGCGCUUGUCCAUGGGGCUUUCAGCACACCUAUCGCAUCGUGCUUGGCGCACCUUGACUUGGCCUGAUAGUAUUGCUCGUAAUGCUGAAUGACCCGGUCGAUGAGCGGGCGAAAGUGGUGCUUGUCUGUGAUCCGAACCUCAUCACGAUCAGCUCGAUCCUUUGAUUUUGCAGCCAUGUUACUGGCGUUAGCUUGUUCGUGGUGUUUGGAUGCAGAUAUGAGGUCCUGGAGAUUUUUGUCCUGCUCCACGAUCCAGUGCUCGAAAAACCUCUGGAAGCUCAGGAGCUCGGACUCAGAAGUACUACUGCCAUUACCAAUGGCCGAUGCUACGUUGUUGCCACCGUUAGAGAGCUGUAAGGACAUGAUGGGUGUGGCGGUCUUCAGGGAACUUGAUGCAACGUUUGGAAGAAAGGACAUGGUGGGUGAUGAGGCUUACAGGGAUAAAGAUCGAGCACCCUUUAAAACAAUGACGACAGUCAUCCCAAAAACAAUGGGCGGCCUUCAUUAAUGUCGGUUUACAGGUAUCCACUUUCGAUACUCAACCGAUCGACGCGAGUUUUCAGAUUUUCUAUGUCAAUGAACCCUAAAAACACAAGGUGCUCAUACGGGACACGUCGGCUAAGCAUGAGAAUAUAAAGCAGAAACACAAGGUACUGCCGAAAUGGUUUACUUCGGCGUCAUCAGUACUUGUCGUUUUCUCUGAAACUUUGAACUUAGGACCAGUAGAUGAUCAUAUAAAGAUAGGAGUCUGUACUGUACUCUUCUUUUAUCUUCACAAAUUUCUGUCAAACUCUCAACUCAAUGCCUACUGCUUUUGUCUUCC
This is a long non-coding RNA of Juglans microcarpa x Juglans regia, 1537 nucleotides long. RefSeq lists it as uncharacterized. Lineage: Eukaryota; Viridiplantae; Streptophyta; Magnoliopsida; Fagales; Juglandaceae. The transcript is spliced from 2 exons. The record is from RefSeq and is a predicted model, not a curated record.